Molecule: ribosomal RNA, 251 nt
Filed under: uncultured bacterium
Lineage: Bacteria
Description: partial 16S ribosomal RNA
Rfam family: Bacterial small subunit ribosomal RNA
Source: RNAcentral
AUAAAGUUGUCUCCUUAUAUGGGGAGCGGCGGACGGCUGAGUAACGCGUAGGAACGUACCCCAAAGUGAGGGAUAACUGCUCGAAAGAGUAGCUAAUACCGCAUGUGGUCUUCGGAUUAAAGCUUCGGCGCUUUGGGAGCGGCCUGCGUAAGAUUAGCUUGUUGGUGAGGUAAUAGCUCACCAAGGCGACGAUCUUUAGCUGGUCUGAGAGGAUGAUCAGCCAGACUGGAACUGAGAACGGUCCAGACUCC